GAUGAACGCUGGCGGCGUGCCUAAUACAUGCAAGUCGAGCGAACAGACGAGGAGCUUGCUCCUCUGACGUUAGCGGCGGACGGGUGAGUAACACGUGGAUAACCUACCUAUAAGACUGGGAUAACUUCGGGAAACCGGAGCUAAUACCGGAUAAUAUAUUGAACCGCAUGGUUCAAUAGUGAAAGACGGUUUUGCUGUCACUUAUAGAUGGAUCCGCGCCGCAUUAGCUAGUUGGUAAGGUAACGGCUUACCAAGGCAACGAUGCGUAGCCGACCUGAGAGGGUGAUCGGCCACACUGGAACUGAGACACGGUCCAGACUCCUACGGGAGGCAGCAGUAGGGAAUCUUCCGCAAUGGGCGAAAGCCUGACGGAGCAACGCCGCGUGAGUGAUGAAGGUCUUCGGAUCGUAAAACUCUGUCAUUAGGGAAGAACAAAUGUGUAAGUAACUAUGCACGUCUUGAUGGUACCUAAUCAGAAAGCCACGGCUAACUACGUG
RNAcentral lists this ribosomal RNA (497 nucleotides) under uncultured bacterium. Its description in RNAcentral is "partial 16S ribosomal RNA". It matches the Rfam family "Bacterial small subunit ribosomal RNA", at positions 28 to 507 of the family's 1533-position model. The record is from RNAcentral.